AGCAGGGCGGAUGAUCGCGGGGCCUUCGGGCCGUGAGGAAAGUCCGGGCUUCACAGGGCAGGAUGCCGGAUAACGUCCGGCGGAGGCGACUCCCGGGAAAGCGCCACAGAGAACAGACCGCCGCUUUGCCUUACGGCAAAGCGGUAAGGGUGAAACGGCAGUGUAAGAGACUACCGCUCCGGCAGCAAUGCAGGAGGCAGGGCAAGCCCCAUCCGAAGCAAGACCAAACAGAAGGCAUAAGGCGGCCCGUCUGCCUUCGGGUAGGUCGCUUGAGCCGUCCGGCAACGGGCGGUCUAGACAGAUGAUCAUCCGCGACAGAACCCGGCUUACAGCCCUGCUCC
Molecule: RNase P RNA, 341 nt
Filed under: bovine gut metagenome
Description: Bacterial RNase P class A
Rfam family: Bacterial RNase P class A
About the family: Ribonuclease P (RNase P) is a ubiquitous endoribonuclease, found in archaea, bacteria and eukarya as well as chloroplasts and mitochondria. Its best characterised activity is the generation of mature 5'-ends of tRNAs by cleaving the 5'-leader elements of precursor-tRNAs. Cellular RNase Ps are ribonucleoproteins.
Source: RNAcentral